AGUAGCUGACGAGUCCCAAAUAGAACGAAAUGCGCAUCCUGCAU
RNAcentral lists this non-coding RNA (44 nucleotides) under Trichobilharzia regenti. The record is from RNAcentral. Lineage: Eukaryota; Metazoa; Platyhelminthes; Trematoda; Strigeidida; Schistosomatidae.